RNAcentral lists this ribosomal RNA (682 nucleotides) under Vibrio sp. HR06-65. Its description in RNAcentral is "bacterial SSU rRNA". It matches the Rfam family "Bacterial small subunit ribosomal RNA", at positions 64 to 729 of the family's 1533-position model. Lineage: Bacteria; Pseudomonadati; Pseudomonadota; Gammaproteobacteria; Vibrionales; Vibrionaceae. The record is from RNAcentral.
GGCAGCGACAANAUUGAACCUUCGGGUGANUUGUUGGNCGNNGAGCGGCGGACGGGUGAGUAAUGCCUGGGAAUAUGCCUUAACGUGGGGGAUAACUAUUGGAAACGAUAGCUAAUACCGCAUGAUGCCUACGGGCCAAAGAGGGGGACCUUCGGGCCUCUCGCGUUAAGAUUAGCCCAGGUGGGAUUAGCUAGUUGGUGAGGUAAUGGCUCACCAAGGCGACGAUCCCUAGCUGGUCUGAGAGGAUGAUCAGCCACACUGGAACUGAGACACGGUCCAGACUCCUACGGGAGGCAGCAGUGGGGAAUAUUGCACAAUGGGCGCAAGCCUGAUGCAGCCAUGCCGCGUGUAUGAAGAAGGCCUUCGGGUUGUAAAGUACUUUCAGUCGUGAGGAAGGUAGUUGCGUUAAUAGCGUAAUUAUUUGACGUUAGCGACAGAAGAAGCACCGGCUAACUCCGUGCCAGCAGCCGCGGUAAUACGGAGGGUGCGAGCGUUAAUCGGAAUUACUGGGCGUAAAGCGCAUGCAGGUGGUUCGUUAAGUCAGAUGUGAAAGCCCGGGGCUCAACCUCGGAAUUGCAUUUGAAACUGGCGGACUAGAGUGCUGUAGAGGGGGGUAGAAUUUCAGGUGUAGCGGUGAAAUGCGUANAGAUCUGAAGGAAUACCGGUGGCGAAGGCGGCCCCC